Molecule: non-coding RNA, 4111 nt
Organism: Xyrichtys novacula (pearly razorfish)
Lineage: Eukaryota; Metazoa; Chordata; Actinopteri; Labriformes; Labridae
Source: the annotation of a GenBank genome assembly
GGGACACGUAGUUGCAAACCUAGCGACUUUGUUGUUAGAUUCAAUGACUUUUCAGACCCCCUAACGACUUUUUUUUAGAAAGAAAGGGACUUUUAUCGACUUCUUCUGGAGUUUAGAGACUCUGACAUGAAGCAGGCUUUCCUUACUGAGGAGUUAGCAACGCUGCUAAGGGUGCAGAGCCACACAUGCGCUCAGAGCUCUGCAUGGGAGACUGAAGCUGACAGAGCUGCAGCAGUUAGCAGGUUUCACCCUCAGAGACCACCAGGGGUUCAUGUUGAGGCAUUUUAAUUUUUUUUUUUUUUUGUGCCAUAGACACUGUCAGCACAAUCUGCAGUUACACUAACAAAAAUGCUGCAAAAAACAAAGAAUUAUGGAAAAAUUACACAUGGACUGACAUAGAGGAGGAUCUACACAAGUUUUUUACAUCAUGUUUUACAUCAUGCAUCAUUUACAUCAUGUUUUUUUGUAGUGGCAUAAAUAAAAAGUGACAUUUGUGAGACUAUACAGUGUUUUGUAAAUAAUUUUACAAAGAACGCCUGGGCCAUUGCCUGCAUUUUGAUGUAAAUAGAGGUAAAUCACUAUGUUCUUUGUUAAAAAUUUGCAUAUGUUUUGAAGUUUACAAUUUUUAUUUGAAGUUUAAGUUUUAAAAACAGUUCAUCACACAUAUUUGUGGUUUUCACAGUAAAAAUGUUACUUUUUUCCACUCUGAUUUUAUGUUUUGUGUGUGAAUUUGGGUCCAUUGUGUAAAUUCAGUAUGUCAACAUGAUAAAAUAACUGUAAAUUCGCACAGGUGAGGUUGUGCUGAAAAAAAAUGAUACCAGGCAAGGCACGUGAUUGUCAAAUUUUGUGUCAUUAUGACAAAGCAUAUAGGCGUGAAUCUCAACAAUAUGUAUUUUCACCUUAGGGGACAAGAAAAAAUGGACUUUUUUCUCCUGCCAUGGGGGGCGCUCUUUUGGGGAGUAAAAAUUCCUUCACAAAUGUGUUGAUGGCUGGACAUUGCAUCAUCCUAGAAAACUUGGAGGCCAGUGAGGACAAAAAUAAAAAGUUAUAAGACUUUUAAAUAUGUGGAUUUUAGGGUUGUCUUUGGCGCCCCCUAGAACCUAAACCGUGGGGUGCAGCGUCAUGAUUUGAAUAACUUUUAAUGGCCAUGGGGUGUAGAUUGGCCUGAGCAAAUGUGGUGCCGGUGGAACGAAAGCCUUAGGAGGAGUUAGCCACAUUCCAAUGUGUGCGGAUCGGCAAAAAAUGCGGAAUAACCCUUUAACCGUACAUUUGACAGAUACGCGCGCAUUGACUUUUUCGUAGAUCUUAUUGAGUUACAUGUGUGUGUCAAUUUUUGUGUCAUUUUGACAAAGCGUAUAGGCGUGACACUCAACAAUGUGUAUUUUCACCUUAGGGGACAAGAAAAAAUGGACUUUUUUCUCCUGCCAUGGGGGGGCGCUCUUUUGGGGAGUAAAAAUUCCUUCACAAAUGUGUUGAUGGCUGGACAUUGCAUCAUCCUAGAAAACUUGGAGGCCAGUGAGGACAAAAAUAAAAAGUUAUAAGACUUUUAAAUAUGUGGAUUUUAGGGUUAUCUUUGGCGCCCCCUAGAACCUAAACCUUGGGGUGCAGCGUCAUGAUUUUGAUAACUUUUAAUGGACACGGGGUGAAGAUUGGCCUGAGCAAAUGUGGUGCCGGUGGAACGAAAGCCUUCGGAGGAGUUAGCGAAAUUCCAAUGUGUGCGGAUCGGCAAAAAAUGCGAAAUAACCCUUUAACCGUACAUUUGACAGAUACGCCCGCACUGACUUUUUUGUAGAUCUUAUUGAGAUACAUGUGUGUGUCAAUUUUUGUGUCAUUUUGACAAAGCGUACACGCGUGACAGUCAAUAGUGUGAAUUUUCACCUUAGGGGACAAGAAAAAAUGGACUUUUUUCUCCUGCCAUGGGGGGGCGCUCUUUUGGGGAGUAAAAAUUCCUUCACAAAUGUGUUGAUGGCUGGACAUUGCAUCAUCCUAGAAAACUUGGAGGCCAGUGAGGACAAAAAUAAAAAGUUAUAAGACUUUUAAAUAUGUGGAUUUUAGGGUUAUCUUUGGCGCCCCCUAGAACCUAAACCUUGGGGUGCAGCGUCAUGAUUUUGAUAACUUUUAAUGGCCACGGGGUGUAGAUUGGCCUGAGCAAAUGUGGUGCCGGUGGAACGAAAGCCUUCGGAGGAGUUAGCGAAAUUCCAAUGUGUGCGGAUCGGCAAAAAAUGCGAAAUAACCCUUUAACCGUACAUUUGACAGAUACGCCCGCACUGACUUUUUUGUAGAUCUUAUUGAGAUACAUGUGUGUGUCAAUUUUUGUGUCAUUUUGACAAAGCGUACACGCGUGACAGUCAAUAGUGUGAAUUUUCACCUUAGGGGGCGCUAUGGAGCCAUUUUGCAUUUUCUUGUUUUGGCGACUUCAGAAUAUCAAAUUUUUCACCAGGCCCGGUCGUCCUGCCAAAUUUCCUGAGUUUUCGCCAGUGGGAAGUGGGCCAUUUUCCAGUUCAAAGGGGAGGAAAAAGAAGAAAGAAAGAAACAAAGAAAAACCCCUACAGGAAUAACAGGGCCUACGCCCGGCUGCUCUGCAGCUGGCUCGGGCCCUAACUAGGACCCCGUUGGGGCACUGGCGGGCCCGAGCCGUGUCGCGUCCCCCCCCCCCCCCCACCCCCCCACCCCCCAACAUGCUGCCUCCCCGUCCCAUUUGUGUCCUCUGGCCAUCGCCCUCUCUGGUAACGCCCAUCACUGCAAAGACCCUUUUCCUUCAUCGGCGUUUGCUGUUCUUCCUGCCAGUGCGUGUUGCUUUCACUUACACUUGCCACAGCCAGCCUCGUGAGUGCCUAGCCUAUUGGAUAUCACUGUCACCUACACAGGACAGUCAUUACCUUUCUAUUAAUACUUUGUGUUUUAAUUUCACAUUAAUUUCCAUAUUGUAUAAACGACUGGAAAAAACUUGAGCCCCUGCCCCUGUAUAAUCAUGUGCAUGUCUCUGUUCUAGCUCCAAGGUGAAUCUUCACUGCUCAUGUUCUCCUCAGAAGCACUCACCUCACUCCCCUCAGGUUACUGUACACAUGCACCAACUGCCUGCUUCAGGUUUGGAUGGAGCUUCAUGGUUGUCUUUUGGAGAAAUGACCAGUCAAGUUGUGUUUGAAAUUUGAUUUUUUUCAGGGGCAAAAGGAGCCUCUGCAUUCUUGUCAAAUAUGUAAAUAGCAUGUUUUUGCAGGUGCUAAAAACCAGACUCUGAGUGUGUGUGUGUGUGUGUGUGUGUGUGUGUGUGCGUGUGUGUGUGUCUGUGUGUGCGUUCAAGUCACAUGACAUAUUUAAUCGGAUGUAGCUGCAAGACGGAGCCUCGUUGACUCUCCGUUUCAACUUAUCUCAAAAGUGAGGACCUCAACCUAUAUACCAGUUUUUAAAUUGUGUUGAUAGGCCAAAUAAAACCAGAGUUAUGAUAAAUUAUGUCCGCGAUACUUUUUUUCUGCUUAUUUUGAUCACGUUCGGCGCUCGAUCGCGCUGUAUGAGACAGGAAAACAUAGCAUGCAGACAUUAGCGACAGGUCUUACAGGCGGAAAAGGCUUGCCAAAAGAAAAAAAAAACACACCACAACAUCUCUCCUAUUGGUGGAAAACUUCACCACAACAACCAAUCCAAAAUUAUAUGGUGACUGAUUGACAAGGGGCGGGCGCUUACGUUCUUCCUGCAACAUGAGAAGGGAGGGAGGGACUCUCAGCAGGGAUGCAGUCUGGGACACGUAGUUGCAAACCUAGCGACUUUGUUGUUAGAUUCAAUGACUUUUCAGACCCCCUAACGACUUUUUUUUAGAAAGAAAGGGACUUUUAUCGACUUCUUCUGGAGUUUAGAGACUCUGACAUGAAGCAGGCUUUCCUUACUGAGGAGUUAGCAACGCUGCUAAGGGUGCAGAGCCACACAUGCGCUCAGAGCUCUGCAUGGGAGACUGAAGCUGACAGAGCUGCAGCCGUUAGCAGGUUUCACCCUCAGAGACCACCAGGGGUUCAUGUUGAGGCAUUUUAAAUUUUUUUUUUUUGUGCCAUAGACACUGUCAGCACAAUCUGCAGUUACACUAACAAAAAUGCUGCAAAAAACAAAGAAUUAUGGAAAA